GCCUCUAAAAGUAUUAAAGCAGCGGCAGCUGCUGCACGCAGACAUGAGGGCUAGGCUAAAACAGUAAGGUCAAGUUGUUUGGACAGAAAGGCUACAGGGUGCGGUCCUGGCUCUUCUGUAAGAAUUCUGACCGCACUAACCAUGCCUAGGAAGGAAAGGAGUUGUUUUGUAGAAGGUGUUGGGGUUUGAGAGAUCAGUCGGACACGAUUGGCAGGGAGAGCACGUGUUUUUUUAUGAGAAUUAUGCCGAGAUAGGUAACAGAUGAGGAAGAAAUUUGGGCUUGAUUGAAGUAAUGGGGGCUGUCUGUGAAGCUUUGCGGCAGUACAGCCUAGAAAUUACCUUACUUAAUGUAUUCUCCAGAUUAUCCAGAGUUCUCCAAAGAAACAGAUCCGGUCGGUGACUAAACAAGUACUCGCUGCUAUAUUAUCCAGGCCAUUUGCUUGAUCAUUUCCUCUGGUUAAAAGCAAGUAUUUGUUCUUUCAAGUAUUUGUUUUGUUCGGGCUCCAAAAGUUAAAGAGGUAAGUUUACAUCAAGACAGGUAAGUAUCUGUCCACAAUGAAAUCUUGGAAAAGAUGAUUCCCUAUGGUUCAAUUGUGUGGCCCUAAGUAGCACACACGGGCUAAC
This 624-nucleotide long non-coding RNA is filed under the name Homo sapiens (human). Its description in RNAcentral is "HSALNT0209748". Lineage: Eukaryota; Metazoa; Chordata; Mammalia; Primates; Hominidae. The record is from RNAcentral.